Molecule: ribosomal RNA, 253 nt
Filed under: uncultured bacterium
Lineage: Bacteria
Description: partial 16S ribosomal RNA
Rfam family: Bacterial small subunit ribosomal RNA
Source: RNAcentral
UACGUAGGGUGCGAGCGUUGUCCGGAAUUAUUGGGCGUAAAGAGCUCGUAGGCGGUCUGUCGCGUCUGCUGUGAAAUCCCGAGGCUCAACCUCGGGCUUGCAGUGGGUACGGGCAGGCUAGAGUGCGGUAGGGGAGAAUGGAACUCCUGGUGUAGCGGUGGAAUGCGCAGAUAUCAGGAGGAACACCAAUGGCGAAGGCAGCACUCUGGGACGUGACUGACGAUGAGACGCGAAAGCGUGGGGAGCAAACAGG